UAGAUACCCUGGUAGUCCACGCCGUAAACGAUGAUAACUAGCUGUCCGGGCACUUGGUGCUUGGGUGGCGCAGCUAACGCAUUAAGUUAUCCGCCUGGGGAGUACGGCCGCAAGGUUAAAACUCAAAGGAAUUGACGGGGGCCUGCACAAGCGGUGGAGCAUGUGGUUUAAUUCGAAGCAACGCGCAGAACCUUACCAGCGUUUGACAUGGUAGGACGACUUCCAGAGAUGGAUUUCUUCCCUUCGGGGA
Molecule: ribosomal RNA, 250 nt
Filed under: uncultured bacterium
Lineage: Bacteria
Description: partial 16S ribosomal RNA
Rfam family: Bacterial small subunit ribosomal RNA
Source: RNAcentral